RNAcentral lists this ribosomal RNA (710 nucleotides) under uncultured bacterium. RNAcentral's name for it is "bacterial SSU rRNA". It matches the Rfam family "Bacterial small subunit ribosomal RNA", at positions 104 to 810 of the family's 1533-position model. The record is from RNAcentral.
GGGUGAGUAACACGUAUGCAACCUGUCCGGUACAGGGGGAUAAGCGGCGGAAACGCCGUCUAAUACCGCGUGACAACCCGAGGGGGCAUCCCCUUGGGUUCAAAGGAGAGAUCCGGUACCGGCUGGGCAUGCGGCGCAUUAGCUAGUUGGCGGGGCAACGGCCCACCAAGGCGACGAUGCGUAGGGGUUCUGAGAGGAAGGUCCCCCACACUGGAACUGAGACACGGUCCAGACUCCUACGGGAGGCAGCAGUGAGGAAUAUUGGUCAAUGGGCGCAAGCCUGAACCAACCAAGUCGCGUGAGGGAAGACGGCCCUACGGGUUGUAAACCUCUUUUGCCGGGGAGCAAGCCUGAGCACGUGUGCCCAGGCGGAGAGUACCCGGAGAAAAAGCAUCGGCUAACUCCGUGCCAGCAGCCGCGGUAAUACGGAGGAUGCGAGCGUUAUCCGGAUUUAUUGGGUUUAAAGGGUGCGCAGGCGGGCUGUUAAGCCGGCGGUAAAAAUUCAGGGCUCAACCCUGUCGAGCCGUCGGAACUGGCAGUCUUGAGUGGGCGAGAAGUAUGCGGAAUGCGUGGUGUAGCGGUGAAAUGCAUAGAUAUCACGCAGAACGCCGAUUGCGAAGGCAGCAUACCGGCGCCCAACUGACGCUGAGGCACGAAAGCGUGGGGAUCGAACAGGAUUAGAUACCCUGGUAGUCCACGCAGUAAACGAU